RNAcentral lists this long non-coding RNA (218 nucleotides) under Lathyrus oleraceus (garden pea). RNAcentral describes it as "Pisum sativum (pea) long non-coding RNA (PSAT_LNC018977)". Lineage: Eukaryota; Viridiplantae; Streptophyta; Magnoliopsida; Fabales; Fabaceae. The record is from RNAcentral.
UUUUCAUAACUCCCCGUUUUUGGUUCUUUUGGUUCUUUCUCUUUAUGUGAUUUGUUUCUUUAUCAAAGCGUCCACAAAUUUGUGAUUUUUUUACUGUUAUAGUGGCAUCCUUUUUAUUUAUUUAUUUUUAAAUUAAGUAUAAAUCAUAUUUUUUUUAUGGUUGGAUAUUCCAACCGUGGUGAUAUAUUUUCCUAUUUUUAAAUUUAAAUGAUUUAAAC